UGGGGAAUCUUCCGCAAUGGACGAAAGUCUGACGGAGCAACGCCGCGUGAGUGAAGACGGCCUUCGGGUUGUAAAGCUCUGUGAUCCGGGACGAAAGAGCCUGAGGUGAAUAGCCUAAGGAAGUGACGGUACCGGAAAAGCAAGCCACGGCUAACUACGUGCCAGCAGCCGCGGUAAUACGUAGGUGGCAAGCGUUGUCCGGAAUUAUUGGGCGUAAAGCGCGCGCAGGCGGCUUCCUAAGUCCAUCUUAAAAGUGCGGGGCUUAACCCCGUGAUGGGAUGGAAACUGAGAAGCUGGAGUAUCGGAGAGGAAAGUGGAAUUCCUAGUGUAGCGGUGAAAUGCGUAGAGAUUAAGAAGAACACCGGUGGCGAAGGCGACUUUCUGGACGAAAACUGACGCUGAGACGCGAAAGCGUGGGGAGCAAGCAGG
This 429-nucleotide ribosomal RNA is filed under the name Fusobacteriota bacterium. Its description in RNAcentral is "Fusobacteria bacterium partial 16S ribosomal RNA". It matches the Rfam family "Bacterial small subunit ribosomal RNA", at positions 355 to 776 of the family's 1533-position model. The record is from RNAcentral. Lineage: Bacteria; Fusobacteriati; Fusobacteriota.